GACGAACGCUGGCGGCGUGCUUAACACAUGCAAGUCGAACGGAAAGGCCUCUUUCGGGGGGUACUCGCGUGGCGAACGGGUGAGUAACACGUGAGUACCCUGCCCUUCACUUUGGGAUAACUUCCGUCAACUGGCGCUAAUACCUGAUAGGAGCUCCUGCUGCCUGGUUGGGGUUGUAGAGUUUCGGCGUUUGGGGUUGGACUCGCGGCUUAUCCGCUUGUUGGUGGGGUAGUGGCUUACCAAGGCUUUGCCGGGUAGCCGGCCUGAGAGGGUGACCGGCCACAUUGGGACUGAGAUACGGCCCAGACACCGACGGGAGGCAGCAGGGGGGAAGAGUGCACAAUGGGUGGAAGCCGGAUGCAGCAAGGCCGUGUGCGGGAUGACGGCCUUAGGGUGGUAAAACGAUUUCGCUCAUGACGAAGCUUUGUGUGACGGUAGUGGGUAAAGAAGCACCGGCUAACUACGUG
This 467-nucleotide ribosomal RNA is filed under the name uncultured bacterium. Its description in RNAcentral is "partial 16S ribosomal RNA". It matches the Rfam family "Bacterial small subunit ribosomal RNA", at positions 28 to 507 of the family's 1533-position model. The record is from RNAcentral.